UGCCUUGUGCCAGGCUUCUCCUGGAUCUGU
This 30-nucleotide non-coding RNA is filed under the name Rattus norvegicus (Norway rat). Lineage: Eukaryota; Metazoa; Chordata; Mammalia; Rodentia; Muridae. The record is from RNAcentral.